AACGCGAAGGACCUUACCUACCCUUGACAUGUAUGGAAUCCUGCUGAGAGGUGGGAGUGCCCGAAAGGGAGCCAUAACACAGGUGCUGCAUGGCUGUCGUCAGCUCGUGUCGUGAGAUGUUGGGUUAAGUCCCGCAACGAGCGCAACCCUUGUCCCUAGUUGCUACGCAAGAGCACUCCAGGGAGACUGCCGGUGACAAACCGGAGGAAGGUGGGGAUGACGUCAAGUCCUCAUGGCCCUUAUGGGUAGGGCUUCACACGUCAUACAAUGGUCGGAACAGAGGGUUGCCAAGCCGCGAGGUGGAGCCAAUCCCAGAAAACCGUUCGUAGUCCGGAUCGCAGUCUGCAACUCGACUGCGUGAAGCUGGAAUCGCUAGUAAUCGCGGAUCAGCAUUCC
RNAcentral lists this ribosomal RNA (396 nucleotides) under Burkholderia sp. AG01. RNAcentral describes it as "bacterial SSU rRNA". It matches the Rfam family "Bacterial small subunit ribosomal RNA", at positions 958 to 1358 of the family's 1533-position model. The record is from RNAcentral. Lineage: Bacteria; Pseudomonadati; Pseudomonadota; Betaproteobacteria; Burkholderiales; Burkholderiaceae.